Molecule: long non-coding RNA, 5419 nt
Organism: Onychostoma macrolepis
Lineage: Eukaryota; Metazoa; Chordata; Actinopteri; Cypriniformes; Cyprinidae
Exons: 4
Source: RefSeq, a predicted model, not a curated record
AAUGGUAAAAGAAUAAAUACAUUUAUAUUGGCGCUCUACAGGGCGCUUUCGAGGACCGGGCUCUGGAGGGUGCUUUUGAGGUGCAGGCUCUGGGGCUAGAGCCGACACCAGAGGGCUUGACUUUCCCACGGACGCCAGUGGGCUUGAAUGAGCCGCGGAUGGCGGCGGGUUUGGCUUCCCCGUGGACGGCGGCGGGCUUUGCUUUCUCGCGGACGGUGGGCUUGAGGGAGUCGCGAACGGCGGCGGGCUUGAGAGUGCCAUGAGUGGUGGCAGGCUUGUUCUGGCUCGGGCCCGGACACUCCUGGGAGGUCUGGGAGGUCCACGGGGCGAUAGUAGCCCCGAGCCAGAACAGCAAAGUGAGAAUGGCGUCAUCCCACGCCGUCGCCGUGGCGAGCCCACAGAAUUCCACGGCAUACUCAAAGAAGGGGAGAUCUUGACAAGCUACACUGUAAAAAAAAUCCGUAAAAAUACAGUACAAUAUACCUUAAUAAUUUGAAGGAAUUUUCCGUAUUUGGUUUUUACAGGUGUUUUUCCGUAUUUUUUAAAUUACGCUUUGCAUUGUGGGAACAAGAAGCUCAGUCGAUUAUACGCACUACCGGCACAUCCGGGAACUUAACUGUCAAUUUCGUUACCGCCCCUUUUUGGGGGAAAACAAACUAGACUUCCCAUAGGCUUCAAUACAAAAUAGGGCAAAAAGCAAAGUCCAUACACAGCCGACAGACGUGAAUCACUUAAGUAAUCACUAGGAUUAAUCAUGUCAAGUAAUUAUAUGUCCACCCUGCCUGCCAUAGAGCGUGAAAGAUACAUCCAUAAACUUAAUUUGGUCAAUUUAAAAACUCAUUAUCCCAGCGUCAAAUUGGUGUAACAACCCCACCCAGUGGCCAGAGGUGUCUUGCCGGACAUUUACUCGUACCUAAUCUAAUCACCAGGUAAACCAGUGAAUGAUUUUACUUCAUUUGAAAGUAAACAUCUUUAAAUGUAUAUAUUAUGUCCUUAUAUUUAGAGUACUGAGUGCACUUUUCUGUCCAGCCAUACAACUAGCCUGGCUUCGCUUUCGAUAGCAUCAUCCGUAAUACAUAAUAUUUCCAUAACAGCAAGAUAUGGAUGAUGGUGGCAGGUAGCCUGGGCUAAAUUUGGGUUUUUACAAACAUUAUUGGUGCACCCAACCACACAACAACUCUUUGGCAUGUUGUAAGGUUAGUCCACUUCCUCGAUCCGAUGCUGUAUGGCGGUUUGUUUUCCCCCAAAAGUGGGCGUGAACCUGUUCAGAGACAUUCAAUGACGUUGCGCCGGUUGUGAGUAUCGGCGCAAAAACAGUGCUUGAGCAGACGCCAUUAUUCACAGAGAUAGUCUCGGUAAAAAUUUCAUUUUAAAGUCGGAUUUCGGGUUUGAGGAACCGUUUUUACACUUCCGUGGUAAAUUAUAUUUUGUUAAAUGUAACAAACUGUAACGUUAACUUAGUUGCUGUCUUCCUUGUUUGCCAAAUGAAUAUCGGAGGCUCGGAGCCGUCGCAUUUGACAUUUUCAGCACACCGUCACAUCUCACUCGACGUGGAGGCAAGUUACGUGUUACAGUGUGCUCACUUUCAGUUUUAUCAAUAAGUUUAUUAACUUUUAAUUGUUGUUGAUGCGGUGUAUUUGUUACUGCGCGUGCCGUAAAGCAUCCGGCAUGUUAACGUUACUGAGGCGAUGUUAAGCUGUGAUAACGUUAAAUCUGAAGUGUCGUACAACUGUGUUUAGAGCGCUGUGUGCCUUCAACAGAAGCUGGCAGAGGAAUUGUCAAGAAAAGAAGAUAUUACGACUUUUUUUUAUUCUUUAAAAGAGAUUAUACAAUAGGUGAAGAUCUGACAUCGCGGAAUUCUUCAAGGAUAACGCAACUUUUCUGCCAAACGAGGUUGUAAUUGCUGCUGUAUUGUGCAUCCCAAGUACUCCCUGCAUUCUUAUCAAGGAUUGCUGUCAUUCAAGAACUUAUCAUUUCCUCCCCCAUUGUGGCUGAGCUACACAUUCUCUUCAUUUUAUUUUAAACAUAAAACAUCCAGAGGAGAUGGCACCUACGUUGGAAUUCAUACAAAUGCCAUACAAGUUUGUUUGUUCAUUAGAACAAAUAUGAAGAAAUCUAGUUUUACAUCACUUGCUCAUGGAAAGGCUGGCGUCAGAAUGAGAGUUCAAACAGCUGAUAAAACAUCACAAUAAUCCACAGGUAAUCCACAUGACACCAUCAAUUAAUGCCUUGUAAAGCAAAAAUCUGCGUGAUUGUAAUAAACAAGUCUAUCAUCAGUUGCUUCCAGCUAAAACCUUGAAUUACCUGAAGGUAAGUAAAUUUCUAGCAAAUUUUCAUUUUUUGUUGAACUGUUUGUUCUUUGUUAGAAACAUCCUAAGUUGCUUUUACUAGUUCAAAAGUGUGGUUAAGUACACUUUUAAAAAAGUGCAAUUUGUCAUGUCAUAUUAAAAGUUUUAUUUUAAAGUACGGUACAUUCUAAAUCACUGGUUUAAUAUUGUUCUGUAAGGAGCCCUUUACAUGACAUUGUGGUGGGAAAAAUUCGGGGUGAAUGGAAAAAAAUUCAGGGUGGGAGGAAUUUUUUUUUUCAAAUGUUUUGCGUUCUCUCGCAAAACUUUUGCGUUCCCUCGAGAAACUUUUGCUUUCUCUCGCAUAGAUAUUUGCGUUCCUUCGCAAAACUUUUGCGUUCUCUCGCAAAACCAUUUGAGUUCGGACAAACGCUUCCUGUUUACUUUGCAGCUUGCAGUGGUUACAGCUCGUAUGUUCACAAUGGAUCGGUUCAUAGAGUUUUAUUUUGAACUUGCACUCAAAGUAAUACAGUCAGUGCAUAUGUCGAAGCACGGUUUUGGGACAUUCUAAAACGCUUAAUGUGGCUUAAUGUUUUAAAACCGUGACAUUGGAGGACUAAAUUCGAUAAUAAUAAAUCCUGAUAAAAAUUAUUAGGCUAGCAUUAAUAACCUUAUUAAUAAUAUUAAUAAAGCAGAAUAUGAACGCAACGCCCUGCACAUUAAGCCUUUUCUUCCCCAUAGAAAAGGUAGGCUAUAAUGAAAGGUUCAUGCAGCUCGUAUGUUCACAAUGGUUCAUAGAGUUUUAUUUUGAACUUGGACUCAAACUAAUUAAAGGGUUGGUUUACUGCGAUUUCACUUUUUUCAUUUUAAAUAGUGUGUAAUGUUGCUGUUGGUGCACGAACAGUAUCUGCAAAGUUGCUGCGCUGAAAGUUCAACGUAAGCGGAGAUAUCGUCUUUUAAAAAUCAGGAAGUUUAAUGCCUACAAAAACGACUCAUAUGGGACUACAACGAGAUACUUCCCGGGUUGCAUACGUAAAAAACCCAUCAACCCCUCCCUCCGGAACAUGCCAAAGAGGGGGCAAGGCCAUGUUCUGCGGAGUUGUAGCCAUGCCGUCGAAACGGUGUUAUUUUCACCCAGCUGUCAGGUCUUCUGUGUUCGGGCUUCCUACGGAUGCUGUAGUUCCUCAACAAUGGUUCAAAUUUAUGUCUGAUUAUGUUCCUAACAAUUACAAUCGUAAUUCAGCUCUCUGUGCUGUGCAUUUUACGGAAGACAGCUUCCAGAAUCUACACGAGUUCAAUGCCGGAUUCACACAGAAACUAUUACUAAAACAUGGAGCGGUUACAACUUUAAAACCACAAGCAGCAGUUGUUGGGCCACAACCUGUAAGUAAGAUUUCAUAACUUUAAAUGUGUUUGCAUGUAUAAUUUCAGACGUAAUGUUUUAGUUUUAUCAAGGUCGUAAACAAAUGCCAACGCUGGCUUUAGUAGCCAGUUAGUUACAUGAUGUUUAGUGUGUCUUUGACAAACGCGUACAAACAUUUUGGACCCGAAUUUGUAAUUAUGUACUAAUUUUGUUAAUGUAUUUUCCAUGUAUACUUUAUGACGUAAUUUUUCAAUUUGAUCAAGACCGUAAACACAAGCCAACGCUGUUUGGUUAUAGUAGCCAGUUAGUUCGAUGCUAUUUUGUGUGUGUAUAAGACAAACGUGUACAAACUUCAAAAAAUGAUAUGUAAUCACAACAGCAAACUUCCAUUCAGAAACGUUUGUAAAAGCCGUGCUCGCGGAAGUUCUGCUCGACUCUCUUCAUUACCGCUUUCUGGGUCUGAUUCUGGCUCAAACUGAUACUGUGUUAUGGAUCAACUGGGGAUGGUGUUAACUGGGGAUGUGCGCGUGCACGGAAGUAUGUUUAUCUGGAUUUCCAGCAGAUGUUAGACGGCGACAGAUUCGUCACUGCGAUAUUCCACGGGUCAUAGAUUAAAAAUCGUUUUUCAACAGUUGUAUACAGGCAUCAUGCACAAAGCUUUUUGAUUCCGCGGUGUCCGUACCUGCGUAUGUCACGCGGUUUUAGGGAAGUUUCCAUGCUCCGAUCUCACGCUCACAACCACGCCCACGUUAACAAGGGACAUUUUGUUUCAAUGGAUGAUCAAACAUGAAGUAAAAAAUGUGUUUUCUUUUCAAUAUUAGCCUACUGUAUCACAUUGUGUCUGUAGUGUGCUGUCAUGUGUUCUAAAUAACAGGGGGGGGGAAUGGGCUACUUUGGCUUGGUUUGAGUUUGUGUGAUUUUACUCUGCUAAUUUUAUUAUCUGAGAUUUCUUGCUUGUACAGUCAGCUCUGGUGCCUCUCUAUCCUCUUCCCUGGACAUAAAGUUUCAUCCUGGAUUUAUGACUGAUCUGAAAUCAACAUUUUGCAUUGGCUUAGAACUCUGCUUAGAAUUCUGUACUCAGUUUCUUAUAAUCAUAUAAUCAAUUAAAUUAACUUAAUUUUAUAUAUGCUUAAUAGUGUGUCUGUAUUGUACUGUGCAUUAUGCUCAGUUACGUGCUUCAAUAUAAAUGUUGUGAAUCUGUUGUCUUUCAUUGAACAUGUAGAGAACACUUUGUUUUAAGUAAAUUCUAAGUUCAUGACUCCUGGUUUUCAUUUUACAUAUAGGCCUACUGGUCUCUUGCCAGACUACUAGUGUUUCCAACCAUAGAAAACAUGUUAUGUGCAGUGCAUCAAAGCCAAACUCUUUAAGUAUGUGUGAUGAACACAGGAAGGCAUUUUUCCACAAUUUGAAUGUGCGAUAUAUUUUACAUGUAUGGCAUGUUUAUAUUUUUAAGGUGGCAAAGUGUUUGACAGGUGUUUAUUAAAAGUGAACCAUGCUGUAGGAUCUUUCUUACUGCCUCAUAGCUUCUUUUUCUAGUUUCCAUGUGACAAUCACUCAGCACCCACAACUUUUUCAUGACUGACACAGGCAGAACAUAUGAUGCUGUGAUGAUGAAUUAUUAUUACAUAUAUGGCUAAUAUUGCAAAAGACAGUAUACAUCACUAACCUCAUUUGGCAUCUUACACGAAUAUGAUACCUCUCUCCCAAACAUUAAUUAGAAUAGGAAAACCUUCAAUAUUUACUUUAUUGCAGACUUCUUGAACUAAAAAUA